CAAUAGCGUAUAUUAAUGUUGUUGCAGUUAAAAAGCUCGUAGUUGGAUCUCUAACGCACGCGGCCGGUCCGCCCCUCACGGGGUGUGCACUGCGCCGUCGUGCGUUAUCCUGGGGGAGAGCGUCCCGCGCAUUAGGUUGUGUGGGUCGGGAUCCUCCACGUUUACUCAAAAUAAAUAAGAGUGUUCAAAGCAGGCGAUUGCUGUAGAAUUCUUCUAGGUUGGAAUAAUAAGAUAGGACGUCGGGACUUAUUUUGUUGGUUUGCAUCUCCGAGUAAUGAUUAAUAGGGACAGUUGGAGAUAUUCAUAUUCAGUUGUCAGAGGUAGAAAUUUCUUGGUAUUUACGGAAGAUGAACUACUGACGAAAGCUAUUUAUCGAGGAUUG
Molecule: ribosomal RNA, 382 nt
Filed under: uncultured eukaryote
Lineage: Eukaryota
Description: bacterial SSU rRNA
Rfam family: Eukaryotic small subunit ribosomal RNA
Source: RNAcentral